RNAcentral lists this long non-coding RNA (576 nucleotides) under Elaeis guineensis (African oil palm). Its description in RNAcentral is "long non-coding RNA (EGUI_LNC072522)". Lineage: Eukaryota; Viridiplantae; Streptophyta; Magnoliopsida; Arecales; Arecaceae. The record is from RNAcentral.
AUUCUUAUAGAUUACAUGCAUGGUAAACAACCAUUUCAUUUUCUUACCAAAAAAAAACACCCAUUUUAUUAAUAUGCAAGUACCAAUGUCGAUCGAUGUGACUCACCCAUCUUAAGACAAUACAGAUAUCAUUAUGAACUUAAUUUAUGUCAAAGAAUCUCUCCUGUUGCAAAUUUACUUGACCUUUUGGGAUCUUCUACCUUCAGCUUAGAAUGUGCAACUCGAUCUCAUUAUCUUCCUUGGGAGAAAACAAACACAGCUUGCAGUCUGCAGAAAGGAGUGAUGAAGUCUUAUAUUUGUCUUCUCCACCAACUACAGGCAUCGGCACGCCUCGCUUUGCCGUAUUCACGUAGUCAGGACGGUAUGUUCUUCCCAGAACUCCUUCCACUUGAGGGGAGAGCCCAAUGAAUCUGAACUGCACCUCGAAAUGCGCAAAGGAAUCAUCUGAUAGUAUCUGAUAGUUGUGUAUCUCAUCAUCUUCCUUGGUAACCGGAACCACAUUGAUCAUGGCCUCUACAAUCCCCUCAAGCAUGACCCUGAUGCUGUUUCUGGUUCCAGUCCUCUCCAAAGUCAGCC